CAGCAGCCGCGGUAAUACAGAGGAUGCAAGCGUUAUUCGGAAUCACUGGGCUUAAAGCGCGUGUAGGCGGGCCGCCACGUCGGCUGCUGAAAUCCCCCGGCUCAACCGGGGAAGUGGCACCGAUACGAGCGGCCUCGAGGGGGGUAGGGGGCACUGGAACUUCCGGUGGAGCGGUGAAAUGCGUUGAGAUCGGAAGGAACGCCCGUGGCGAAGGCGACUCUCUGGUCUGUAACUGACGCUGAGGAGCGAAAGCGUGGGGAGCGAACAGGAUUAGAUACCCCUGUAGUCCCUGUCUCUUAUA
Molecule: ribosomal RNA, 301 nt
Filed under: uncultured bacterium
Lineage: Bacteria
Description: partial 16S ribosomal RNA
Rfam family: Bacterial small subunit ribosomal RNA
Source: RNAcentral